Molecule: long non-coding RNA, 431 nt
Filed under: Octopus vulgaris (common octopus)
Lineage: Eukaryota; Metazoa; Mollusca; Cephalopoda; Octopoda; Octopodidae
Source: RNAcentral
UAUUUGUAUAUAUUUAUGUAUUUGUAUAUACUGGUCUAUUUAUGCAUACAUACAUAUAUAUAUAUAUAUGCAUAUAAUGAUAUACAAUUAUAUGCAUGUCUGUGUGACUGAAUAUAUAUAUAUAUAUAUUCUCACAGACGUGUAUAUAUAUAUAUACAUAUAUAUAUGUGUGUAUAUAUAUAUAUAUUUGUAUGUAUGUAUAUAACUGCUGAGUUCAGGGUGCUAAAAUUAACACACUUCUAUUUUAUUUCAUGUUUUGUUGGGGGGGAGGUGGAAAAGUCUGUUAAAUUAAUCCAUCAUUUCUCAGCUAUGCCUCUGUGUAAAUGGAAAAAAAAAAAAGAAAAUGAAAAGACAAAAAAAAAAGAACUAAAGCUUUCACUUGGAAAAUUGGUUUUAAUUUCGAAUUAAAAAAAAAGUAAUUAAAUUUUUUU